GUUCCCCCAGAGUGAUGGUGGCUGAAGGCACAGUGACAGCAGCCACCGGGAGCAGUUGACCCCGGCAAAGGGGACUGUCUCUGACUCAGCAGCGAGGCCCCUCUCUGACCCUUCUGUCCCAGAACUCUGGCUCUGCACGUAUUUUGCUUCAUUAACUCCCUCCUAGAUGUCUUCAAGCAGCUCUGUUGGCUGGUUUCUCAAGAGAUCAAGAGUCACGUGCUCUACCGACUGAGCCAGCCAGGCACUCGUACGUGUCACUUCUUAAUCUCUACCUUUAGCAGGGCUAGGCUCCCUUCACUUCAGAAAUACCAAGACGCUCUCUGGUGCCUGCCUUUCAAGAGCCCUCCCACCACCAGCAAGUCCCAGUUCUCCUCACGGCCUCCCUUGGGAAUUACCCACUUUCAAAAACGAAAGCGCUCACCACCCAUCCAAACCUUCACACAACUGAGAAGCUGGUAUUGCUUCCUGGAACUUCUAAACGGAUUCGAUGUCCACUUCUACCCUGUGGCCCUGCCCUGGCCGUCCCCGCUUGGAGUAGGAGGCAGAGGGCAGAUGGUGCCGGCACACUCCACCUGCUCGCAGCCAUGCCCGGGCAGGAGAGACACCGGCACACCACCCACAGGCCUGGUUUUCCAGGCAGGGUUAAGUGUGCAGAGAAGGCAUCGCAACCCCUGGGAUCUGCUCUUCAUAACUGGGAAGGCCUGCCGCCCUCACCUUGGGCCCUCCAGUAAUCAUUUCCUCUUGGGCAAUGGAUUCUGCUCAUGGGAGUUGGAGCUUCAGGUAGGCUGGAAGUAAGCAGCCCGGCUGGGCCCCGAAUACGGUUUAACAUCGAAUAUAGUGUUUGCAUUCUGGGGAAAGCAUCUGGGUGUAAAAGCCCCCGCUGUGGGGGCCGGGGGACUGUUAUGCCACUUCCCCCCCACUCCCCCACUGCCCUCCCAGGCAGGCCCUCAGCCUCCCCCGUUGCUAAGACCAGACCGUGCAAGACCCACUCAGUCACUGGGCAUCUGGGAUACUGCUCUUCCACGCCUUCAUGGCCUGUCUUAUAAUGCUGCCCUCUCUUAACAUGGUCUAUGGGGCAGGUCCAAUUGCUUGUUGGAGACCACAAAAAAAACAAAAAAACAAAAAAAUUAAGACCACUGGUCUUGGCACAUGCUCCCCGGGGCACCUAACCAAGAAAAGGGACUGCUGAGGCCCCUCUUUUUCUUCCUUUAGAAUAGACCACCGACUCUGGCCUUUCUCCACCUGCUGGCGAUGGCUCCUGAACCUUUUCUCCUCAUAAAUGUGUACUGUGGUCCUCGCCACGUCGUCUUUGGACCAGCAGUACCAAUGCUACCCAGGAGCUUGUUACAACUGCUACUGAAUCAGAAACUGGGGGGUGGAACCCAGCUAUCCAUACAUUACAAGGCUUCCGGGGGAUUCUAAGUUUCAGAACCACUGGUCUUGUAUCUUCCCUGAGAGCCCCAGGUAGGAAGCCUUAGUUUUCUGAUCCACACGUGGACAGCCUGUUGAGGUGCGUGUGGCUUGCAGCUAUGGGAGUUUCAUCCCAAGGAAGAUGGGCUACCUGUCUCCCACACUUCCAGUUUGCAACAGGCGUCUGGCCCCUGGCAGAGGAGAGGCCCAGGGAGGCUGGCUAGCUUUGGAAUCCACUGAAUGGUUCUUCAUAAGGCCUUUUCUUCCAGAAGGUGCAGCAGGAAUUCAGAUGGCUCUAGGCAUUGCCAUAGCAACUGUACCUUUCUGAAGCCGUCACGGACUGCAGGAGCAGGGAGUAAGCAACGCAAAAGAAGGGGAGUCUGCUGGUGGAUAAAGUGCAAGCAGCAGACGAGGGGGCUGUGAAAAUAAAUGGAACCUCAGCACGGCUGGGACUUUGGGAUCUGCACUUGGCGGGCCUGCAGCUUCCUUAAGACCCAGGACACAUUUAGGACCUCUCGAGGGGUCUUCACGGCUAGGAAACAGCAGCCCAGGGGGCCUAUGAUGCUGACAGUAUACAUCACUUCUCUUAAAAGAUCAUCUACUCAGGUUAAAUUAGACUCCUAAAUGGUCACAGAGCAAUUAAGAAGGAAGUGUCCCCUACCUAGGGUGACACCUGUGUUCCAGGUCAGAGUUGAGGAAAGGGACCAGCUUCAAGCUCCUGAUACGGAUCUGCAUUCUACAGCACAUGCCAAGAAGUCAGGAGGCACCUCAGGGGCCUUAGAUAAUGGUGGAUAUUCUAGCUGCAAAAGAACUCACUUGUCAACCAGAGUUUAUAUAAAACCCAACACCCCAUGCACUGUCAUGCUGGCGUCUGAGCUCAUCGCCGUGGCUCUCUCUAGUCCUUUUUAUCGUCCUCCAAGUACACGUGAGAGGCUGGGAGCCCAGAGCCUCUCCUGCGGUUGAGGACGUUAAGGCUGCUCCUUGGUGCAAGAACCUGCCGAGCAGUGGCUGGGGGCCUUGUAGGCUCGGGCAACCUCCCAGGUGUGGAGGGACACACAGGGGGCCCAGAGGACACUGCCAUACACCAUGCGCACCUUAGCCCUUGGCUGUUUUGGAGCCACUGGUGCUUUUAAUCUGUUCUCUGGCUCCUUCUGCUCUGGAAGAAGCAAGCAGUUCAUGUGAGGAAU
Molecule: long non-coding RNA, 2597 nt
Organism: Prionailurus viverrinus (fishing cat)
Lineage: Eukaryota; Metazoa; Chordata; Mammalia; Carnivora; Felidae
Exons: 3
Source: RefSeq, a predicted model, not a curated record